GUCAAUAUUUCGUUUUAAUUUCUGCACUAUAGUGCAAUAUAGUGCACAUACUUCUCCUGACGACGAGUGACAAGACUGGCAAGAAAUCAGCAACCUAACCUACAGAACCUUUUGCUCAUAAAAUUCUCGUAAAAUGUCUGCAAUUAAAGUUAGAACUAGAAGUGGAGUCAAUAUUCACGAGUCUCGCAUUAUACGAUGCCAGAGAAAAGAAAAAGGUGUCUGAAAAUUUCUACGUCGAUAUGAAUUCAGAGGGAUUGAAAAGAAUGCUUGGAGGACACAUCGCUUAUAGCAAGUACUUUAGCUAGAAGUUGCGUUUUGAGCAUCAAUAAACCCACUCCCGAUUUGUUUCUUGUCGUACGGCUCGAGAAAGUAUUGCAGGGCGAUAUAUCGGAGUGUGCCGAACCAUAUUUACGUAAAGAUAAAAAUAAAGAUAAGGUCAGAGCUGCCGCCGCUGCUGCGUGCGAACGCCUGGGUCGUUAUAGAAUGCCUCUCGCGUGGACUGCAAUUCAUCUGUCUGGUGUAAUCGAAGGCGGUGGUGAUACGGAUAGCACUGAUAGAAAGGCUUAACUAACAUCUUGAUAUUCUUAUAGGCCCAUUACUUUAACAGUCUCGAGCUUCUUCAAGCAGGAAAGCGAACGACUUUGCGAUGAAGAUCUUUAUAAGCUUUUGGUUGAACUACGAAGACCUGGUUCCAACUUGAAACGAUUAAAAUCCUUACCAGAGAUAUUGAAAUUGGAUCUCAGUCCCAGACCCGAAGAACUACCGAGGUGUCUUGAUCCCGACCUUAGAAGAUUAGUUCCAUAUCCGGAUGAAAAGAAUCGACCGAUUAAGGAGAUAGUCUCGAGUUUCCAAGCGAAGUUGUUUUGCCCGAUUUAACGUAUUGUAAUCUUCUAUAUCUUUAUCCCAAGGAAGCAAACUUCAGCUCCAGAACUGGCUCAGCCUGUAAUAGCGUUCAGCAGACACAACUGUUGAGUUUGUCUUAUCAACAAUGUUCACUCGUUUACUGUCUCGCACGCAAUCAGCGCAAUGGUCGAAUAUUCAAGUCGAAAGUUGAAUUACCGAAGAAGUAAUCUAAUCUAGAUUAAUAAGAAAGUUGGAUUUUAAAAGUUUAUUAGAAACUCAGAUUUGAAAAGUUAGAUUCUAAAAAUAUAAUUGCAUAUACAUGUGUGCGCGCACAGCCAUGUGUUUGGAAUUGCAAGUUUUAUUAAGUUUAUUGUAUAUUCGUUAUAACAGUUAUAUUAAAUGUCUUUGUUGAUUAAAAAAAUUGACUUGUUUUACCUUCUUAAAAAAUAAUGGUCUUGUUGAUAAUUAGAGGGAUGAAUAUAUGAUACGAAUAUCUCAAUAUCUGCGAAGAACAAUAAAUAUAUACAUUUACAUACUUAGCGCGCGCGCGUUCCUAUUAAAUGAAAAAUGAUCUCUAAGUAACAAUAAAGUUGUUGGAUUGUCACCGUGAAAUGACCUUUAAGCUUGGCACGCUUCACGCCGUUAUUAUUAUAGAGGCAACAGCGACCGUGCAUGCGUUAACGUUUUGUUUUUUCUCCCCCGGCUCGCCUCUCUUGUCAGUCGCGCACGCCGCAGUAAGCAGCACGUCGUUGUACAAGCAGUUACUCAUGUUCAGUUCGACAAA
Temnothorax curvispinosus is the source of this 1627-nucleotide long non-coding RNA. RefSeq lists it as uncharacterized. The record is from RefSeq and is a predicted model, not a curated record. NCBI's taxonomy places the organism in Eukaryota, Metazoa, Arthropoda, Insecta, Hymenoptera, Formicidae. The transcript is spliced from 4 exons.